GCACGCUCACACCAGGCCACAGCAAUGGCCGCCGCCAAUGUCCCAGUCCCUGGAGAGGUCUCACCCCUCACCGAGAUGCACUCAGGGCCUAUUAGGUGCUGUUUCUGAGAGGACACCCCAAUUGACCUCCUGCCGUCAAAUCUCCGUCUCAGAGUCUGUUUCCUGGGGAGCCUGAUCUGAGAUGCUAACCAAAGUACUGUGCAAAAUGUGCAGUGGAAAUGAAGCUUGAUGGUGCUGCCGUUUCCCCAGCAGGCUUCCUCUCAGAGACCCGAGAGGAAGGUCAAGAGAGAUGACAUGUACUGGGAGGUCUUUGAAGGAACAGACCCAGAGGCUUCCUUGAAAUGCCCCCUUUCCUGCAGUUUCCACAGGCAGGCAUUCUGCAAGGCGAUUUAGAAGAACCUGACUUUUAUGGCUUCUCUCUCUCUCUGCUGCAUCUUUUACACAGUUGCCAGAGAGGAAACGUGAAUACGAAGGUGACUGAUACAGUAGGACGCACCCUGACAUAUCCUGAAUAUUAAAUAACCACAGCACAUGGGAGGCUGAACAAGUCAUUCUGCAAAAUGAGCUCCCUCAUAUCAAAGGGGGAAAGACAAGAGAAGAUUCAAAACUGCCUCAAAGCUUCAUCCGGGGGCUGCUGUUUUUAGGGAGUGUUGGAG
This is a long non-coding RNA of Diceros bicornis minor, 656 nucleotides long. RefSeq lists it as uncharacterized. NCBI's taxonomy places the organism in Eukaryota, Metazoa, Chordata, Mammalia, Perissodactyla, Rhinocerotidae. The record is from RefSeq and is a predicted model, not a curated record. The transcript has 4 exons.